GGAUCACGAUCAGUAGAAUGGUAGAAUGCUGACGUCACAAAAAUAAUUCUACAAUCGACAAUUUUGGUAUCACGUUAACACGCUUGGGAAAGUAGAAUCGGUGCUCGGCAAUGUUCGGAUAUUCUACUAGCCAUGUUAAAAAUAUCGCUUCUUCUUCUUAAAAAUAUUGCUGUUUGACGUGUGGUUGUCUUUAUUUUGUGGUGGUUGUAUUCAAAAAGCUAACCUAAAGAAAGAUUAUAAUUUGUGAUUAUUUUCAAUUUGUAUAUUUUUGUCUUGGGUUGUUUGGAACUAUUUUAUUAGAAAUCACUAAAUUUUUAAAUUUUACCUGUGACUAGAGAACAUUGUUAUAUUAAGGUAUUUUUAUUCUUGGUAUGAAACAAUGUUAAGACAAUACUGUGUGCUUUUUCAGUCCUAUGAAAGAAAAUGUUUUGGAUGUAAUAGAGAAGUACUACAACUUUGUUAUGAAGAUUUGUCUUUAUGUUAUUUUUAUAAUGUUCAUGGAUUAUAUUUGUUUUUAUGUUUUCUUCAGUUUAAAUAAAGUUUAUGUUUUACCCA
Molecule: long non-coding RNA, 555 nt
Filed under: Diabrotica virgifera virgifera (western corn rootworm)
Lineage: Eukaryota; Metazoa; Arthropoda; Insecta; Coleoptera; Chrysomelidae
Description: uncharacterized LOC126883455
Source: RNAcentral